RNAcentral lists this long non-coding RNA (1380 nucleotides) under Salvia miltiorrhiza (redroot sage). RNAcentral's name for it is "long non-coding RNA (SMIL_LNC010434)". The record is from RNAcentral. Lineage: Eukaryota; Viridiplantae; Streptophyta; Magnoliopsida; Lamiales; Lamiaceae.
CCAAAUCCAAAUCUGCUCAGAAAAUAUUCUUUUCUCUACCGAUGCAGCAUCUGUUCUUCACCCUUUCACUCCUUUAAAACUCCCUUUCAAGAACAUUCCCGGUCCUUUUCCAUCUCCAAUCUGCAAAAUCUGCCACUUAAAAUACUUUCAACCUCAAGAGUUCAAGACACCCAUCAAGCUUAUCAAGCCAAAUAAGCAAUACUACAGCACAUUCAUUCAAAACCAAACUGAACAAGGUUCGAAUCUCUCCCUUCAACUUUUAUACCACUAGCAUGUAUUUCCUCUACAACUAGAUUUACAAUCUCACACAUUGACAUGAACUUUGAACAGCAUACUUUUCAUUCAUAACUUGUAAGGAUUUUUAGUAAAACACAAUCUCUGCUAAAAUAAGACUAUUAAAAUCUGUACUACAACAAAGCAACUAUAUCAAGAACAGUACCAACGAACACAAACUUGACGCCUUUACCUGCUUCCUUUCUCGUGAACCAAUUCCCAUUAUUCUUCAAGAACAUACCUUGUUUAACUCUGCAAGUUCGAUCUUCCUUUCCUUCUUCCUCUUGGGCUGGGAUGUGGGAGUCUUGGUCUGGAAUGUGGGAGUCGAGGGAAGAAGAGGGUCUUCUGCCCGGUGAUGAGGACGGCGGCGGCACGGCGAAUUUCAGAACGCCGUUGCUCGGCCGGCCGCGAGGAAGAAAGGGGAGUCGGCUGGCAGCAGGACUGCUGUGGUAGAGUCGCUGCCUAGGUGGCUGACCACCACACGCAGAGGGAGAAGUGAUGGAGCGGGCUGGGCCGUGAGAGGGAGCGCUGGAGGAUGGCGGCGGCGCGGCCGGAGGCCAGGCGCGCUGCCCGCUGUGAAAACAGCAGCGGCGGCGGCAACCUUCCUCGGCCGUCCGCUGCAGAUGACGCAAGGGAGAAGGAGGGUGGGGAGCGCGAGGUGGCUGGUGGCUGACGGCGACGGCCAGGGCGGCGCGGCCUAAGGCCGAGCGCCGCUGACGCGGCGGAAAUGGAGCAGCAUCGGCGGCGGCCCUCCUUGACCGUCUGCUAUCGGGAGCGAGAGAAUGAAGGCGAUGAGAGGGAGGCCCCGGAUCCGGCGAUUUCGCCGGAGCUGGAGGCGGCCGGCGUGGAGCUCGGGAGGGAAGGCGGAGGUUCUGGAGAAAAGGGGGGCGAGGCGAGAGAGGGAGAGAGAAGCGUGAGUAGAGAGAGAGGAAGAUUGACUUGUUUUAUUUUAAUUACCUUUAGGUUUAUUUAAGCUUUGUUUGGGCCUCAUUUCAUAAUAAUUUGAUGGGCUUUUUCUUUGACAUGGGCCGAUUCUUAAUAGAGUACCGGGCCGAUUUUAAUUAUUUAAAUGGGCUACACUAUGUUUUAAAUUGAUUUUUGGGCUGC